This 137-nucleotide ribosomal RNA is filed under the name uncultured eukaryote. RNAcentral describes it as "partial 18S ribosomal RNA". It matches the Rfam family "Eukaryotic small subunit ribosomal RNA", at positions 1299 to 1458 of the family's 1831-position model. The record is from RNAcentral.
UGGUGGAGUGAUUCGUCUGCUUAAUUGCGAUAACGAACGAGACCUUAACCUGCUAAAUAGCCAGGCCCGCUUUGGCGGGUCGCCGGCUUCUUAGAGGGACUAUCGGCUCAAGCCGAUGGAAGUUUGAGGCAAUAACA